Molecule: long non-coding RNA, 219 nt
Organism: Spinacia oleracea (spinach)
Lineage: Eukaryota; Viridiplantae; Streptophyta; Magnoliopsida; Caryophyllales; Amaranthaceae
Exons: 3
Source: RefSeq, a predicted model, not a curated record
AUUUGGUUUCCAGGAACUACUCCCAAAUUUAAUCAGUAAAAUAAAUACCCAUAGUCCAUUUAUUUGACCCAUUAAAGAAAGAAGAGGUCCUUGGAGCUCAAGAAGAACGGCUCAUCGAAAGUAAGGAAAACGAGUGCUAAUAGAGGUUGAGGUACCGAAGAGGACAACGGGAUGGAUUAGUGGUGAGGACGUAUCAGUUAAAGCAAGGUUACUCAGUUU